This 906-nucleotide long non-coding RNA is filed under the name Homo sapiens (human). RNAcentral's name for it is "non-protein coding lnc-IRX1-5:2". Lineage: Eukaryota; Metazoa; Chordata; Mammalia; Primates; Hominidae. The record is from RNAcentral.
CGCCCGCAAUGGACUGCAGAUAUUAAGCAGUGAAGACAGUGAGUUACUCAGCUGAUUUGUUCCGUGGAGAGUCAGGCUACCUGGUCAUCCUACUCAAUAUCCAGGCCUGCCCGAACCUCAAGACUGGGUGGGCACCGUUCAGAGGCCCCCAGCCCCUGCCCUUCUCCUGCGAGGGCCGAGCUCACCGUCAGGUCCCUGGGGCUUGGAACUAAGUAGCCACUUCAUAAACACAUGGAUUUUGGGGUGCCCCGGCCCCCAUAAAGAGAUCAAAUUAUGUCUCCUGCAUUCUGCUGUAAUGAAAUGAAUCAUAAAAUAUGUUUUAGAAGAAAAUUACUAUAAAAAGUUUCAAAAUUGUUAUUUAAAAAGGGACCCCGCCAACACGCAUAUUGACCCAAGGAAUCUUCGGGAUGGACUCUGCUUCUGAUCACAUCUUCACCUGCUCGAGGAUCACCUGUGGCACGUCGGGCUCUGAAUGCAAGCCCCAGGACACCCCAUUUCAUGCGUCUGCAUUCUUAACCUCACUGCGCAUUAACAUGCAUCUCAAUGCAUCCAAAAUACCGCACCCCCAUCACAUCAGAGAGCAUUAAAAAUAAGCCAGCUCAAUGCACAAAAAUGAGGGCGACAAUCGGAAACACAAUGAUGUUUCUAAAGAAUGUCCAACCUUAACUGCAGCUUUUCAGUUUCCAAAUUCUCUCUUCUUUAUCUCGUCAUUUCCCUGAAUCACUGGGGCCCAACAACACCAUUCUCAGUCAGAUGUCUGCCUGAGACACAUCAUUUCAAAUUCACCGGUAAAAUGUUUGCAGUUACCAGAAGUGACCUUGUUUUACACACCAACGUGAUGAAUUUAUGUGGGUGGCUUAGUGGAGCUGUUCAUUUCCAGCUUGGUAAUAUUUUAAUUAAUUAAAA